RNAcentral lists this ribosomal RNA (1611 nucleotides) under Salmonella enterica. Its description in RNAcentral is "partial 23S ribosomal RNA". It matches the Rfam family "Bacterial large subunit ribosomal RNA", at positions 1210 to 2803 of the family's 2925-position model. The record is from RNAcentral. Lineage: Bacteria; Pseudomonadati; Pseudomonadota; Gammaproteobacteria; Enterobacterales; Enterobacteriaceae.
GACACUGUGUGUUGUUGGGUAGGGGAGCGUUCUGUAAGCCUGUGAAGGUGGCCUGUGAGGGUUGCUGGAGGUAUCAGAAGUGCGAAUGCUGACAUAAGUAACGAUAAAGCGGGUGAAAAGCCCGCUCGCCGGAAGACCAAGGGUUCCUGUCCAACGUUAAUCGGGGCAGGGUGAGUCGACCCCUAAGGCGAGGCCGAAAGGCGUAGUCGAUGGGAAACGGGUUAAUAUUCCCGUACUUGGUGUUACUGCGAAGGGGGGACGGAGAAGGCUAUGUUGGCCGGGCGACGGUUGUCCCGGUUUAAGCGUGUAGGUGUGUGUUCCAGGUAAAUCCGGUUCACUUUAACACUGAGGCGUGACGACGAGGCACUACGGUGCUGAAGCAACAAAUGCCCUGCUUCCAGGAAAAGCCUCUAAGCAUCAGGUAACAUCAAAUCGUACCCCAAACCGACACAGGUGGUCAGGUAGAGAAUACCAAGGCGCUUGAGAGAACUCGGGUGAAGGAACUAGGCAAAAUGGUGCCGUAACUUCGGGAGAAGGCACGCUGACACGUAGGUGAAGUGAUUUACUCAUGGAGCUGAAGUCAGUCGAAGAUACCAGCUGGCUGCAACUGUUUAUUAAAAACACAGCACUGUGCAAACACGAAAGUGGACGUAUACGGUGUGACGCCUGCCCGGUGCCGGAAGGUUAAUUGAUGGGGUCAGCGCAAGCGAAGCUCCUGAUCGAAGCCCCGGUAAACGGCGGCCGUAACUAUAACGGUCCUAAGGUAGCGAAAUUCCUUGUCGGGUAAGUUCCGACCUGCACGAAUGGCGUAAUGAUGGCCAGGCUGUCUCCACCCGAGACUCAGUGAAAUUGAACUCGCUGUGAAGAUGCAGUGUACCCGCGGCAAGACGGAAAGACCCCGUGAACCUUUACUAUAGCUUGACACUGAACAUUGAGCCUUGAUGUGUAGGAUAGGUGGGAGGCUUUGAAGUGUGGACGCCAGUCUGCAUGGAGCCGACCUUGAAAUACCACCCUUUAAUGUUUGAUGUUCUAACGUGGACCCGUGAUCCGGGUUGCGGACAGUGUCUGGUGGGUAGUUUGACUGGGGCGGUCUCCUCCUAAAGAGUAACGGAGGAGCACGAAGGUUGGCUAAUCCUGGUCGGACAUCAGGAGGUUAGUGCAAUGGCAUAAGCCAGCUUGACUGCGAGCGUGACGGCGCGAGCAGGUGCGAAAGCAGGUCAUAGUGAUCCGGUGGUUCUGAAUGGAAGGGCCAUCGCUCAACGGAUAAAAGGUACUCCGGGGAUAACAGGCUGAUACCGCCCAAGAGUUCAUAUCGACGGCGGUGUUUGGCACCUCGAUGUCGGCUCAUCACAUCCUGGGGCUGAAGUAGGUCCCAAGGGUAUGGCUGUUCGCCAUUUAAAGUGGUACGCGAGCUGGGUUUAGAACGUCGUGAGACAGUUCGGUCCCUAUCUGCCGUGGGCGCUGGAGAACUGAGGGGGGCUGCUCCUAGUACGAGAGGACCGGAGUGGACGCAUCACUGGUGUUCGGGUUGUCAUGCCAAUGGCACUGCCCGGUAGCUAAAUGCGGAAGAGAUAAGUGCUGAAAGCAUCUAAGCACGAAACUUGCCCCGAG